RNAcentral lists this ribosomal RNA (163 nucleotides) under uncultured bacterium. RNAcentral's name for it is "partial 16S ribosomal RNA". It matches the Rfam family "Bacterial small subunit ribosomal RNA", at positions 330 to 509 of the family's 1533-position model. The record is from RNAcentral.
AGCGCAUGCCUACGGGAGCAGCAGUGGGGAAUAUUGGGCAAUGGACGCAAGUCUGACCCAGCAACGCCGCGUGAAGGAAGAAGGCUUUCGGGUUGUAAACUUCUUUUAAGGGGGAAGAGCAGAAGACGGUACCCCUUGAAUAAGCCACGGCUAACUACGUGCC